GGUGCGUUUUCUCUGAGUCGAGUAGCUUGGGACUGCUGCUCAAAAUUGGUGGUAAACUUCAUCUAAAGCUAAACAUUGGUGAGAGACCGAUAGCAAACAAGUACUGUGAAGGAAAGAUGAAAAGAACACAGGUAUGUGGGUUAAAAGUACCUGAAACCGCUGCAAGGGAAGCGAAUGGGACCAGUAGUGUAUCG
This 194-nucleotide ribosomal RNA is filed under the name Synchroma pusillum. RNAcentral describes it as "partial Eukaryotic large subunit ribosomal RNA". It matches the Rfam family "Eukaryotic large subunit ribosomal RNA", at positions 248 to 442 of the family's 3401-position model. The record is from RNAcentral. Lineage: Eukaryota; Synchromophyceae; Synchromales; Synchromaceae.